CUUUCAGAGUCCAGGCGGACGCUACAAUAUAUUUAAAACCCCUUCAGUCCAGUAACAGCUGUGUUUAUUUGUUUUUUAAAGUCACUGGUUAGCACUGGUUGAUCUCAGUUCAUAAUAUUGCAGCAAAUAUCCAGCACAACAAACCCAGCUUUAAACCCAAACCAUCGCUGUAUAAACAGAGACAGAGGAGAAGUUUUCUUUCAGAAACAGCGAGGGUUACCUGCGUGUUUACUAAUCCGUUACUCGUUCGUGCUGGCGUUAAGAUCAUUUGCACGUUAGGUGGAUUUACAGGGCUAACGUGUAUUUAUCUUAUUAAUCUUUAGUGAUAGCAGGUAAAAUCUUGGCAAUGAAAGCUAUAUGAGUCUCGUGGCUCGAGUUUAUGGGGCGUUUGGGGACAGUAGAACCAAAACAGCUUAGCUAUGGUGGUGAGCUUCCUGAGGGCUUUGAGGAUAGUUAUCCUGGUGCGUGUCUUUCGUCUGGCCUCUCAGAAGAAAGAUCUGGAGAAGGUCACUAGAAGAAAGGUAUCUGAGAACAAAAGGCGGUAACAAAAAGGAUGGAUUUGAAUUGGAUCUCACCUAUGUCACAGGCACUCUACAGAAAUCCCAUAAAAGAAGCUGCCAUAUUUCUGGACACAAAGCAUCCCGAUCAUUACAGAGUUUACAAUCUCUGCAGUCAAAAAGGCUACGAUCCACUGUUCUUCCAUUACAGAGUGCAACGAGUGAUGAUUGACGACCAUAACGUACCGUCAUUAGACCAACCCACUCGUUAGGACUCCCCCUAUCACUAGUAAUGCCCCAACACACCAGGAGGAUGAAGACUAGCACACUCUUUCUCCGAUACAUGUGAAGUCAGCCACCGCUUCUUUUCGAGCUGCUGCUGAUGCAGCAUUGCCAAGCAGCCAGCACAUUUGGAGGAAAGCGCAGCGGCAGGUGAAGUGCGUAAUAUGGACAGUGUGCACUUUGCACUUGUGCAACUUUUUUUUAAAAACAGUUUGAUUUGUUUCUGCUAUAUUUUGAUUCAUAGCUUUAUAUAAAAUGAAAAUAACUUAUAACUAUAUUAUUUUCUUUAGCCCGAGGAACCUGAGGAAAGUGGUGGGAAAUCUCGAGCCAGGUCAGACCUUGGGUUGGGUUUGGGCAGAGAACCUAAGCUCUUAUUCACAUAUUGAACUUUGUGUUAUUGUGUUCUCAGUGACAUGUUGAACUACACUGCCAGUUUGAGGGAAUGUCAUUGCCAUCCACUGCAAAGGAGGCAAAGGUGUGGGAAAGGGCAAUGGCAGUGAUCUGAAGGUGCGGAUCAUAGUGAAAAGAGAGCAGGUGUUCCAGUGUGUCUGUGCCACGCAGACGAACUGUAGGCUGUUCCCAGAUACUGAAAACAAUGCCGGGGUGAUCAGCUUUCAGGAAGGGCCAGUGGUUUGUGGUGAUGUUAAGGUCAUGUUUGAAUCCAGGGCUGGUCUUCCAAAGGGGUAUGAGGACUAUCCUUUCUAUUUCUGGUUCAACACUUCAUUUGUAGAGAACAACAGGCUCUAUCUGUCAAGGGAGGAACUGGACAACCCUCGUAAGUCCAAAACCUGGGACAUCUACAAGGAGGACUUUGGUGUGACCGUGUCUUUCAGUGACCCUGCACUUAUGUAGCAGACGACACUUGCUUGUGUAUCUCAACUAAAACCCUUAAGCCCUGCACAAGGUCUAAAUCUUUGCUCUAAUGUAGGUUUUCACACACUUAUAAAAGGUGAGUGAUGUUUAGGGAUUGGAUUCGGGCAUAUUGUGCCCCUAAAGCUAUAGCUAUAGCUAUAUAACCUCAACUUUAUGUCCAUCCCCCAUCUUCACUGUAAGAGCUUUUUACUGAGCCGUGCAUACAUCACAAUAUUAUGCAUUUGUUUGUCAAAUGUUUUUUGUCUUUAAAUGAAGACAAAUGUUUGUGUCAGUUUAGCAUAUUAUGCUUCCAAAAUGUAAAUCUUACUCUUUAAGCUUGAGUGUACAUCAAAUAAAGCAAUCGAGGCUGCCACUGUGAAAUGGUCAAUGGUUAUGUGUGCAGAAACAUUUUUUUGUAGUACACAUGUAUUGAAAUAAAUACUAAUGUCUCUGUAA
Molecule: long non-coding RNA, 2087 nt
Organism: Astyanax mexicanus (Mexican tetra)
Lineage: Eukaryota; Metazoa; Chordata; Actinopteri; Characiformes; Acestrorhamphidae
Exons: 11
Source: RefSeq, a predicted model, not a curated record